AUUAAUUUCAUAAUAUUAAAGUAAAAUAUAAAAGAUUUUAUCUUUUCUUGAACUUUCAUCUCAUAUCUUCUCUCUCCUCAAUAAUGGUCGCAGUUGGAUUUGCGUUUCAUUUUUAUUUUUUAUUUUUUAUUUUUCAUUCUUUACUUCUCUUUUUUCUUCUCUAUUUAUUUUAGUCGCCUUCACUCCACUAUGUAGUCAGUCAUCGCCGA
Molecule: long non-coding RNA, 209 nt
Filed under: Gossypium barbadense (sea-island cotton)
Lineage: Eukaryota; Viridiplantae; Streptophyta; Magnoliopsida; Malvales; Malvaceae
Description: long non-coding RNA (GBAR_LNC011081)
Source: RNAcentral